RNAcentral lists this transfer RNA (87 nucleotides) under Vibrio sp. A11. RNAcentral's name for it is "tRNA-Leu". It matches the Rfam family "tRNA". From Rfam's summary of the family: Transfer RNA (tRNA) molecules are approximately 80 nucleotides in length. Their secondary structure includes four short double-helical elements and three loops (D, anti-codon, and T loops). Further hydrogen bonds mediate the characteristic L-shaped molecular structure. tRNAs have two regions of fundamental functional importance: the anti-codon, which is responsible for specific mRNA codon recognition, and the 3' end, to which the tRNAs corresponding amino acid is attached (by aminoacyl-tRNA synthetases). tRNAs cope with the degeneracy of the genetic code in two manners: having more than one tRNA (with a specific anti-codon) for a particular amino acid; and 'wobble' base-pairing, i.e. permitting non-standard base-pairing at the 3rd anti-codon position. Lineage: Bacteria; Pseudomonadati; Pseudomonadota; Gammaproteobacteria; Vibrionales; Vibrionaceae. The record is from RNAcentral.
GUGGUGGUGGCGAAAUUGGUAGACGCGCUAGCUUCAGGUGCUAGUGUCCGUUAGGACGUGAGGGUUCAAGUCCCUCCCUCCGCACCA